Molecule: ribosomal RNA, 279 nt
Filed under: uncultured bacterium
Lineage: Bacteria
Description: partial 16S ribosomal RNA
Rfam family: Bacterial small subunit ribosomal RNA
Source: RNAcentral
UGCCAGCCGCCGCGGUAAUACGGAGGGUGCAAGCGUUAUUCGGAAUCACUGGGCUUAAAGGGUGCGUAGGCGGUUUAGUAAGUAGGGUGUGAAAUGCCAGGGCUCAACUUUGGCACGGCGCUCUAAACUGCUAAACUUGAGUGAGAUAGGGGUGUACGGAACUUCCGGUGGAGCGGUGAAAUUCGUAGAUAUCAGGAGGAACACCGAUGGCGAAGGCACUUUACUGGGCUAUUACUAACACUCAGAGACGAAAGCUAGGGUAGCAAAUGGGAUUAGAUA